Molecule: ribosomal RNA, 935 nt
Filed under: Achromobacter sp.
Lineage: Bacteria; Pseudomonadati; Pseudomonadota; Betaproteobacteria; Burkholderiales; Alcaligenaceae
Description: bacterial LSU rRNA
Rfam family: Bacterial large subunit ribosomal RNA
Source: RNAcentral
CGAGAUUCCGAAAGUAGUGGCGAGCGAAAUCGGAUGAGCCUUUACGUUUUAGCACGCAGGAUAGUCGAACGGAAUGGAAAGUCCGGCCGUAGCAGGUGAUAGCCCUGUAGACGAAAUUCUGUGUGUGGAACUAAGCGUAAGACAAGUAGGGCGGGACACGUGAAAUCCUGUUUGAAGAUGGGGGGACCAUCCUCCAAGGCUAAAUACUCGUGAUCGACCGAUAGUGAACCAGUACCGUGAGGGAAAGGCGAAAAGAACCCCGGAAGGGGAGUGAAAUAGAUCCUGAAACCGUAUGCAUACAAACAGUAGGAGCCUCCUUGUGGGGUGACUGCGUACCUUUUGUAUAAUGGGUCAGCGACUUACAUUCAGUGGCAAGGUUAACCGAAUAGGGAAGCCGUAGCGAAAGCGAGUCCGAAUAGGGCGAUUUAGUCGCUGGGUGUAGACCCGAAACCAGAUGAUCUAUCCAUGGCCAGGUUGAAGGCACGGUAACACGUGCUGGAGGACCGAACCCACUAAUGUUGAAAAAUUAGGGGAUGAGCUGUGGAUAGGGGUGAAAGGCUAAACAAAUCUGGAAAUAGCUGGUUCUCUCCGAAAACUAUUUAGGUAGUGCCUCAAGUAUUACUGCGGGGGGUAGAGCACUGUUAUAGCUAGGGGGUCAUGGCGACUUACCAAACUAUGGCAAACUCCGAAUACCCGCAAGUACAGCUUGGGAGACAGAGCACCGGGUGCUAACGUCCGGACUCAAGAGGGAAACAACCCAGACCGCCAGCUAAGGUCCCGAAUUAUCGCUAAGUGGGAAACGAAGUGGGAAGGCAUAGACAGUCAGGAGGUUGGCUUAGAAGCAGCCAUCCUUUAAAGAAAGCGUAAUAGCUCACUGAUCGAGUCGUCCCUGCGCGGAAGAUGUAACGGGGCUUAAGCGAUAAACCGAAGCUGCG